AGCUUUGCUCAGUGGCAGUAUCGUAGCCAAUGAGGUUUAUCCGAGGCGCGAUUGUUGCUAAUUAAAAUAACAGUUGUAGCCAAAUAUAUCUCAGUAAAAAUAUGAAAGUGCUGAAGCUAAUACACCUUUUGUCCUGUAUAGGA
Molecule: small nuclear RNA, 143 nt
Organism: Mesoplodon densirostris (Blainville's beaked whale)
Lineage: Eukaryota; Metazoa; Chordata; Mammalia; Artiodactyla; Ziphiidae
Product: U4 spliceosomal RNA
Exons: 1
Source: RefSeq, a predicted model, not a curated record